This 447-nucleotide ribosomal RNA is filed under the name uncultured bacterium. Its description in RNAcentral is "bacterial SSU rRNA". It matches the Rfam family "Bacterial small subunit ribosomal RNA", at positions 328 to 792 of the family's 1533-position model. The record is from RNAcentral.
CUCCCAGACUCCUACGGGAGGCAGCAGUGGGGAAUAUUGCACAAUGGGGGAAACCCUGAUGCAGCGACGCCGCGUGAGCGAUGAAGUAUUUCGGUAUGUAAAUCUCUAUCAGCAGGGAAGAAAAUGACGGUACCUGACUAAGAAGCCCCGGCUAACUACGUGCCAGCAGCCGCGGUAAUACGUAGGGGGCAAGCGUUAUCCGGAUUUACUGGGUGUAAAGGGAGCGUAGGCGGCCAUUCAAGCCAGAUGUGAAAGCCCGGGGCUCAACCCCGGGACUGCAUUUGGAACUGUGUGGCUAGAGUGUCGGAGAGGCAGGCGGAAUUCCUAGUGUAGCGGUGAAAUGCGUAGAUAUUAGGAGGAACACCAGUGGCGAAGGCGGCCUGCUGGACGAUGACUGACGUUGAGGCUCGAAAGCGUGGGGAGCAAACAGGAUUAGAUACCCGUGUA